AAUGGCCCGACCUGCAGGAGCCAUGCCGCUUAAUCACUCACUUAGCACACACUCGCCCCCCAUAUUUUUAUGGGUUUAUUCAUUUUCAUCUCACUAAAUAAUUUGUUAAUUUAUCGUGUCUUGUGAUUUAUUGUAAAAAAAAAACAUUUUAAAACAACUUUUAAUUGUUUCAUAAUUUCAUUUAUUAAAUAAUUGGUUAGUUAUAAAUUAAUUUGAAAUAAUACAAUUAAGAUGCCUGAAUUAUUUACACAGAUUGAAUUUGUUUACAUAUGACAAUCAAAUGUGACCGUUGAGCACAAAAGUUGGACUACUCUAUGUAUUAUUUUUUAUUAAUAGAAGAGCGUUUCUUUUUGGGGGCAGGCUCCAUGAAUGAAGUCACGUGACCAAACACGAUGACGUCCACCCGGGUACAACAAUCAACAAGCGUGUCUUUUUUUUCCCCCUUCCAAACACGAACGACAGACCUCUCAAAUGUGAAGUCUACCCGCUUCGAGAAGAAGCUACUGACGGCUUACAUCUCGGAGGAAACGUCUCUCGCAAGUCAGGUUGAGGCUCGUCGGCACCGGGAGGGACGCGACAGUGGGAAGCGUUGGUUACCUUCCGAAUGUAAGCCGGGGGGCGGUGGGGGGGGGGGUCUCCUUCUCUUGUGCCCCGCUUGUUUAUUUGAAGGCAAGGGAGUUGUUUGACACUUUGACGCGCGGCGGGGGUCGUGGAAUGUCCAAAGUGUUCGGCUAGCAUCAACUCAUGCGAACCUGCUGCUGCUUCAUCACCUCACCGUCAAAGGGGGAGCAACCGAAGCUGAACAUUCACAAAGCGAAGCCAGGAUCGUUUGGAGACAGGAUAAAGGGGGUCUUUCGGCCGAGGUGGGUCGAGAUGAGCACCAAAGGAUGAGCAUCCUAUGGGAAUGUGUCUUUGUCUUGAAAGGCUUCAGACUGCAAGUGCCAAAUAGGUGUCAAGCUGUCACAUCCAUUUAGAAAACGGAUGCGAAGCAAUUUACACGCUGGGCCAAAAGGUCGCGGGCGUGCUGGAGCCUAUCCCAGCUAUCUUCGGGCAAGAGGCGGGGUACACCCCGAACCGGUCGCCAGCCAAUCGCAGGGCACAGAGAAACAAACGACCAUUCGCACUCACAUUCACACCUAUGGGCAAUUUAGAGUAUUCAAUCAUCCGAGCAUGCAUGUUUUUGGGAUGUGGGAGGAAACCGGAGAACCCGGAGAAAAGCCACCCACGCACGGGGAGAACAUGCAAACUCCACACAGGCGGGGCAGGGAUUUGAACCCGGGUCCUCAGAACUAUGAGGCAGAUGUGCUAACCAGUCGUCCGCCUUGUAAAAAGCAAAAAAAAUAUUAAUAAAAAAUAAAUGAAAAAGGUGUGUCUUGUAAUACUAGUUUACUGUGAUAAAUCUUGGGGCUAAAUGCUUUACUCAUAUAGUAUUAUACCUUUCUUAAUACAGCAACUUUCUCCUUGCAACAUGAAUCUUUGUUUUAAAACUUAGAAUAGUAUUACAACUUAAUUACCCCUUUUAUUUUAUUUUUUUAACCCCCUAACGUUCCUUUGUGUGUUGCAUUAUUUUGUUUGUAUUCCGAUCCAGGUAAGCGCUAGCUCUCUGGUGACAGCAUUUGACACAAUUUAACUGUUCAUUUCUCUUAUUUUGAUGGGGCAGAUGCUCUUGUUUCCCCCUCGCGAGUGGCGGGAUGACAUUUUCAGCCCAUUAGCCUGCAUGGAGGCUAGGUAAUGAAUUAUCUGCCGCUGUUUCUCUUAAAGUCACCUUGGAAACUGUUGAGCAUUUAUGGGCAGAUUGAAGUUUCCCUCCUCGUUCUUGCUCGCCUAGCCGACUUAUUUCAUCAUCGUGUGUGUGUGUGUGUGUGUGUGUGUCCACGCGUGUGCGAUGCAUUUAAAUGCGUUUUAGAAGGCAGGUGCUCGGCUUUGCAAUAAACCUCCCAGUCGCCGCCUUCCAGGUAACGAGAAUAAAUGAGGGCCCGUGUAGGAGCCUGGUGGUUCCGAAACGAUGUGGAGAUCGGCUCAGAAAUAUCUUAGCUCUUAAACUGAGUCAAUCAAGUAGGGUUUUGAUAUUAUCAUUUAAUUCAAAUUUAUUCAUCAGGAUAUUUUAUUUAUUUAUUUUUAAGCGCUUUGUGUAGUUCAAAGCAGGUCUUCGCUAAUGUGCACUGCUUCCACUAACAACACGGCUGCAAAAGCGGUUUAUUUACAUAAGCAGAGUCAGUUCUGCCAACUUAGCGAUUUAGUUUCAAUAUGUUGCGACUUUUCCAACCCUCUUUAGCAACUUUAAUGCAACUGCAAUUCCUGCUAAGAAUCAAUGUGAGUGCAAUCAUUUUCUGCCCAACAACGAUGAGAACAUGUUGGAGAAAAAACUUAUUUCAAAGUGUGUUUGGUUUCACGAGACUCAAUAAAGUCCCAGAAGGGGGAAAAAAACGGAGUAAAACUUGUUUUGAACAAUGUCUUUGUUGUUUGCAAAAGAUUUAUAAAAAUCAGAACGUAGAUUUUUGUGAUUUUUCUUUCUUCCCUCAGAGUUUAAUUUGUAGGCCAUAUUGCUCAGCCCAUGGUGGAGUGUUUUAUUUUUGGAUGACAGUGGUUAACUUAUUUUUACACUGACAUUUUAGAAAGUUAAAAAACAUUUUCGAAAGUUAAGAACACUUCUAAAGUCGUAGAAAACUUUGAAUUUCGAGCCACGCUUGACUUUUGCAUUUAGCGCUAGACCUCAGUUUAGCGAGCGUCAAGCUUUUUAGGCUUUUUUAAAAAAAAAAUACGGUUAGCCUAAAAGCAUAAUUGCUGAAGUCAUAUUUCCAAGUGUUCAAAAAACAAGAAAGAACCCGACAAAUUAAAAAAGAGUCCAUUUACCCAAGCAAAGAAAAAAAAUGUUUUUUUUUAUAUUGUGACAGUAAGUUAGUCACUUGGAGAAUAACUGGCUAGGCAAACAAUAAGCAGUAAGAUUUGUCACUAACUUAUGUGUUUUCACAUAAUAAUAAUAUAUGAUUACCGUAUUUUUAGUUUCCAUGCUUGUUGGUUAUCAGGAGGACUAAAGCAAAUCCUACAAAGGAAAUCAAAUCAAAAAGCGAUCUUGCAUUGUCAUUCGCAUUCUCCGUAAGCAAAGAGGAUAAAAAUCGAUUAGGAUUGUAUUUUUGUUAACAAAUCUUUAAUGUUUAUUUUAAGGCCAAACUGCCCUGCCCUGCUGUAUACUUGCUGAAGGAGAGAAUUGGAUGGAAGAUUUGAUGAAACCCCGAACAAGACUUGGCAUCAUAAUGCCUCUUGUAUGGCCGACACGCAGCUGUGCCUCGGGAGCGGUUACGCCUAUUCAGGACAAUUAAUAGCCUCUAGGAAGGAACACAAACGUGGGAUUUAUCCACAAAAGUGCUGCUUAAGCUGCAGAGGGAAAAUGGGAACGCAUGGAAACACGAUCAAUAUAUUAUUAUAUAUAUAUAUAUAUAUAUUUUUUUUUUUUCCAUCCCUUGCAAUGGGGCGGUGAUGCAACCUCUUGCAAGGGUGAUUGCUAAGCGUUGCGAUAUGCCCGCCGCAGAUUCUCUCAACUGCAGCGUCUUUGACGACUUUGCGCCUAUAACUCGAAUGAGACUGCGUGUUCUUCAGUGUCGGGGCACAUAGAACUUGCGACGAUGGUUUGAGCGCAGACGAGUAUGUGUAUAAUAUUUAUAUAAUUUAUCAAUUUGGGGUUCAGUGUCUUGCCCAAGGACACUUCGACAGCAGACAGUCGGGUCCGGGAUUCGAACCGUCGACCCUUCAGUCACUCGACGACCGGCUACGAACUGAACCGCAUUUGUAUUCUCAUAACGAUGUGACUUUUUUUUUUUUCUAGAAAAAUGCAACUGUUCAUGUAAAAUAAAAAAAAAUGACAAAAAUUCCACUUUAUCAUAAAAUUACAACUGUUUUCUUGUAAUAUUAUGAAUUUCGCCUCGUAGCUUUAUAUUCUUAUUUCAUUUUUCUCCCCCCCAAAAAUUUGACUUUACACUCGCAACAUGACAACUUUUUUCUCGUAACCUUACAACUUGAUUGUUGUCCCGUUCACGUUUUCAACUACUGACAUCUUGUUCUAUAACCCAAGUGGAAAAGGAGUUCCAUUUUUUUGCCUCUCGAUUUAAAAUAUGCAGAAAAUGAUCAGUUGAGACACAUGAAAGAAAAGCGCAGCGUGACAAAAAUAAGUGGCAACCUUUUUUUAAAUUUUAUUUGUAGUUUACUUUUGCAUUUUAACGAACGUGGGAAGACUGCAGGGGGGCUUCUGUGUCUCGCUGCAGAAAAGAAUCAUGACGAGUCCUCUGUGGGGGGAAUGGCUCCUGUGGGACACCCUUUACACCGCCUCUUUGAGAUUAUAUACGCUUUUGUCAUUUACUUCUUUUUGUAUUUAUUCAGCCGGUUGUCACAAAGAGUAAUCUCCCGUAGCCUGUAGGCAGACCUUAUCCCUCGUGGUUGCAAUAAUAUAUUUGAAGUUUUUAACACUCUUCGUGAAAAAAAUAGGCACUGUGAUUGGAUGCUUUGAUAAUACAUGAGCGAUUGACGUCCACGAUCUUGCCUUUGAUAUGUCUUUGCGCGCCAAUAAUAUAGGAGCUGCAUACGCAGUCCAAAGUUUAGGGGAAUAAAUGCCCCCCAAAAAGCCAAUACAUACAAGCUGAAUGCAUCUUAUUAAGAAAAAUAUUUGCUUUAGCGCACAAUAGCAAUGGAUGCUUUUGGUUGGUUAGUACAUAUCCAAUUAAUUCACUUUGAUUGACAUGAAAAUGGCUGUAAACAGCUGUAGUGGGGCUCUAGGUCACCACACCUGGCGCUGCUUCAUGCGUACGCAAGCACCACUACUGUGGAGCUUGUGGCUGUUUUUUUUUUUUUUUGGCCAGUGACCCCCUUUCCUCUGGCAGUGCAAAGGCCCAGAGUAGCCCGAGCUUUACUCUUCUUGUUUAAUCGAGUCCUCCAGGCCCAUACGGAUGUGGGCCGAUGAAGUCUCUCCGCCUGCUUACACUAACAGAGCAUCGCCGGCUGGCAAACAGAAACAGCAGCUGCUGAGCUACAGGGCGAAGAACAUCAUCAUUUUGCGGUGUAACAUCAGCGGAUGCGAAUCUGUCGUACCUGAGUCCCUUUAAAUAAGACUCACAUUAUCACUGACUGGUGUCGUCCCUCGAGGGCGAUGAGUCACUUUUUUUUUUUAGUUCAAAAACCAAAUGAACCUGAUACAUAUUCCAGACAUAAAUGUUCCACAUGAGCAGUCACAUGCUUGCAGGAAUACUGAAUCGACAAUCUGCUACUUAAAACCAGCAAUAUGUCGGUAUAAGAUUAUAUUUCCAUGGCCGGUCUAAGUGCCCAAUUUGGAUUUAAUGCCUAUUUUGGAAAUGUAUUUUCUUUUCUUGUCUAUUUCCAGUGACAUAUACAGUACAGUCGAUACGACUGUGUUUACAUUGAGACAACCUGUGAAGAAAUUCAAAUUCCACGUAAAUAACUCCCUAAGUGUCAAUACUGGGCAGCAACAACAUGGAAGUGAACCUUCAUACAUAAAUAGUUACAAAUAGUGAUUGAAUUUUCUUUUUUCUUUUUGUACCGGAGUCUAAGUUACUUGAUUUUGAGUAUCUGCUCAUACUGAGUCCUGAUCCAAUACCUCGGCAAUAAACUCACUCUUUUUUACGCUUACAAUUAAGCGUGGGUUGAUUGGUCCUGCUUGACGAGUGAGUCACAAGAACGAGGUCUUCGAAAAGUGACUGCUGUCAUCUUACUGUCUCGGACGCUAUGUUAGUGUAGCACUAGCGCUAACAAUAUCCCACAUAUCAAACUAAUGAUAUAAAUGCAAAUAUUAAACGGUAAAUAGCAAUUAUUUGGCCGAGGCUGACUCUUCCCCUCCUGUUUAUUUAAAUGAUGGUAUUGUUGUCAUGAGAGUAUUUGACUUAUUUAGUGAUCUACAAACCUCUAAUUUAGCAUAUUUAGACUCUAUUUACCUUUGCUUUCGCUUUAGUUUAGUUUUAUAUAGGUGUUUUAAUCUGUUUAUUUGUAUUGGCUGGGCAGACGCAGCAGGUGUGUAUACGUCACCAAUCGGUCUACUGUAUUUUGAUGACGUCAAGCUGGCAUUGACGGGGUAUAUCUGAUGUACGUAGUUACCCUGCAUUGGCACAUACCCAACUCGUAACUGUUUUUUUUUGUAUCCAUGUUUGGAAGAGGCCUGAUGAUUCUUCUCUGAAGAUACCUGAUAGUGCCAUGUUUUGAAUAAGUGCCACCGUAAACCGGUGUCAUGUCCGUUCUCUUUUGGUAGCAAACUACAGAAUUCUCAAAGGAAGUUCCAUUUCUCAAACAAAACAAAAAAAAACCCUGAAAAGGCGACCCACCAAGAAUUAUAGCACACCCUUCACCUUAUGUGCCCCUUAUCAGAAGCCAGUCUGUGCAUCCAACAAGACUCAAUGCAGCACUGCUUACCUUUGACAUGAUUGUGUUACAGAAAGGGUACUUUGACGGUUGCUUGACAAUGGCAAAUCGUCCCCAGACUAGCUUCAAAGUCACGGCCUUGGAAACUCUGUUGUGUUGGCAGUAUUGUAUUAUGUAAAUGAGCCCCACUGUUAUGUCACAAAUCAGCAAAAUCUGAACGGCUUGCCCACAGACUCUUUUUUUUUUUUUUCCAGAAAUAGGCAGAUGGCAAAAGCUUUUCUUGAGUGUUUAAUUUCACACUUGAAGGGGUGGGCAGGCACUCCAGAGAGCCAACUAUUUGAAUACACACAAAUCAAAAAAGUAUUUCCGUAAUAUGUCCCCUUUAAGAAACUACUGUAUCUCUGCAGACUAUGGUCUCUAGAAAUCGAAACCCUGUGACACAGGUAACACUACAAUUAAUAGAGUAAUCUGCUAUGGAGAGUUUAGUUGCAGUCCUCUUUGGCAAACCAAAUGUAGGCUACAGAUGCCAGUGGCCCAGUAUCAGCACUGAUAAAUGAGUCUAAUCACAAGUGUUUCCCCCUGUGUGACAUUAUGCAGCAUGUGGCAAUAACUCCCUGAUUCCAGCCUUCAUUUCGGAGGAUAAAUGGCACACAUCAAGAGUCACUGAGGAGCAGAUUGCUCAUUGCUUGUUUCUGAAGAGUCCAGUCCGAUGGAGUUGGAAUCAAAAUUGCUCUGAAAAAUACGUAUGAAUAUGAAUCGCACAAGCUGUCUGAGCACAUCACGACAUCUCAUGUCAGCCAGCAUAAAAGGGUUAACGCGAUCUUCUGUGACUGGUGUCGCACAUUGGAGUCCCUCUGUUUGACUCGAAGGAACACUGACUGACUGUUGACUGCUACGUUAGCUUCUCACGCUGGCUGGCGUUUGGUUAACUGCCCUAUGCUUGUCGCGAGUGACAAGCCUUGUGUCGUUAUCACUGUUACCACUUUUAUUUUAUUUGGUUUCUAUUUCGUAUUUUUUGUUCCAUUCCUGACUCAGCUUUUCCCUUAGAUUCUUUGACUGAUGUGUUGCAAGCCCUUUUUUCCACUUAACUGCUUUUAUUUUGGUGAGUUUUUACUUGGUUUUUGUUCCAUUCAUUUUGGCUUAAUUGAACUCUCAGGCGGCGCAGGUAUCGACCAGCUUUUUGUGAGCUGAGGACUUUAAUCGGGAGCUUCUUUGUUGGGCGUCAUGUGUUCGAGUGUGUGAGCGAGCACCGUUUGUGCUUUUUGACAUUAUAGAGCACUGAGUGAAAAUGUAGACUGUAUAAUUUAGCUUCUCACGCAAGCCGCCAACAGGGUAGCUGGCUAACUGCCUUAUCGUCGUUACUUGUGAUCAAAAGUUCGAGUGUUACUUGAGUGUGUUAUGUUUGUACAUUUCAUAUUACGUAACUGGUAGAUGUUGUAAAGACAGGUUUUGUGUUGGCGACAAUUUGGACUCUGGAUCGAACCAUUUCGUAUUUCCAGUCCAAUGAAAUUUGGGCUGGUCAAAGGUGUUUCCCAUGCGCCCCUGGAGUGUUCCACUUCCAUCUGAAAGUUGAAUGAUUUCCCCUUUGCCUCUUUCUGUCACCCUUAUUUCACGCUCUGAAUAGUUAGUAGUUAAUAGCUUCCCUCCCCCUUUGCAAAGCCCUUCUCUCUCUCUCGUUUUGCUCUCCCGCUCUGUUGUCUGCAACUUUAUCCCAGUCCUUCCUCUUCCGGAGCUAUCGUAGGCAUCUCAUUUUUAAUUUGCUGCUAAACGCCCUGCGACAUGCCUGAUAAUUGACUGCACUCUGCGGAAACGAUGAAUGAUAAGGAUCUGAAUAGCCAGAUCUGUUAUUUGAGACCGCAUAUGAAGAGAAGUAGUAUUUGUGAGGUACCGUCUAGUUAUGAUAUUUAAGCCAUAACACAAUAUUUGACAGUAAAUACCUUAACCUUUAACCAUAAACCUAGCUCUAAAUCUAACCGUUAACCUAACACCUUACCCUUAAGCCGCAAAUUUGACCCUACCUACGAAUCCACGACGUUUCAAUUGCUUUAUCAUAGUGUGCGUUUUGGCCAGAGCUGGCUUGUGCCAGUUUUGUAGCUGUCAGGCCGAGCGGCUGUCCAAACACGUUUUUGAGCAGCGUGCCCUGCUGCUGUUUGCUAUUCAUUCGCGUCAUUAGCCGGCCGAGUGAGCGCUCGGGACUCGUGCUUUUCAGGGAUCGAUGGUGAGAUGCCCAAUUCCUUAACGUGCGAGGUCCGCUCGCCUCUGCGCCGAAUUAUGAUGAUACGCAAGCCCCCUUUGCAUCUCACGCUGAGCAUUCAGAAGAGGGCUGCGUCGUAAUCUGGAUGUGAGAUGUAGGUUUUUUUUUUGUUUGUUUUUUGUUUUUGUUCUUUUGGCCCCGAAUAAUCCUGUUAAGACGGCUGUCAAAGUGGUGAUAGCUCCCCCUGCAGCCCCCUGAGUGGCCAUGCGUGACACCUUCAGAAAUCCACCGCCACCCUCUCACAACAUCCCACCACUACUGCCAUUUUGAGACAGCUGUUGAUGGAAGAUUCCCCUUGCUUGUAUCCUUGAAGAAUCACCUCCUGAGCGUUUUUAUCCCCCCGCCCCACACACACACACACUUGAAGAAAGAAUUGAAGGUGAUAAAUAUUCAUCAUGCGGUGCGACUCGUGGCAACAAAGUGUCCCCCAGCUAAUGGCGGCCAUCCUUGGAGAGGUCCCGCGGCUGGGAUGAGAUCAUUAAAGCAUGACAUCGGGCUCAAGACCGGACUUGGCAUUUCCCAUCAGUGCCCCUCCCGCCCCCAUUGAGCUUCCACCUUCCUCCAUGAGCUCUCCAUGCAUUUCGAAGGUUGUCUCGUCCCGUCACUUCAAUACAAUUUCCUAAUUGGCACUUCUGAUUUUAGGGUUAGGGCUUUUUUGAUUUAAAAAUAAAUAAAAAAAUAAAAAAUUGUGUGUGUGUCUCAUUGCUGAGAUCAGUGCUUUUUCUUCCUUCUGCCCGUUCCUCCCAAGUUCCUCCAAAAUGUGUUGAGUGUGCGCUUUCCCCUCCACCAUGCACGCCUCCUUCUCCAUCACAUCCCCUUCUUCCUUUUUUACCUGGGUGGCCACACUCAGCAUUUUUUCAUCUCCUGUGGGUGUGAUACGUCUCUCCCCUACCAGCAAUCAGCGCUGAUUUGUCAGCAUUCUUCCAGGCGAUUCAUAAAAAUUCAGCAAGUGCCUACAAAAAAAAAAGCCUUCCGCGUCCCUUUCGCCACAACCCCUGGGCUCUACGGUGGGCUCCAUGUCCUCAAUUAUGAAUGUACUAGUUGCAUUCUUUCUGUCUUCAGUCUUUGUCAACCUUGCAGUUUUCUGAUUUGGAGGUAGUCUCAGAGCAGUAUCAGAGGCGGGAGAGCAGAAGUACUCACUCUGUACUCUAUACAGUCAGGUCCAUAAAUAUUGGGACAUUGACACAGUUCUCGUCUUUUUGGCUCUAAACACCACCACAAUGGGGUUUGAAAUGAAAUGAUCAAUAUGUGCUUUAAUUUGAGAGUAUUUACAACUGCAUCAGGUGAACGGUGUAGGAACUGUAUGCCUCCCACUUUUAAGGUAACAAUCCUAAAUCAAACUUUCGCUUUUUAAUACUUCAUUAAAAAAGGAUUUUUUUCAGGCAAUUAGAGCCCGAAGUCUGGAAUGCAUCAGUGACAUCACCAGAUGCUGGAUUUCAUCGCUGGUGAUGCUCUGUCAGGCCUCUACUGCAACUGCUGUCAGAACCUGCUUGUUCUUGGGGCAUUUUCCAUUCAGUUUUGUCUUCAGCGAGUGAAAUGCAUGCUCAUUUGGAUUCGGGUCAGGUGAUUCCCUUGGCCAUUGCCUAACAUUCCACUUCUUUGCCUUACAAAACUCUGAUCAUUAUCCAGCUAUACUGUGAAGCGCCGUCCAAUGAGUUUGAAAGCGUUUGGCUGAAUAUGAGCAGGUAACAUUGCCCGAAACACUUCAGAAUACAUCCUGAUGCCUUUGUCAGCAGUCACAUCCUCAAUAAAUGCAAGAGAACCAGUUCCAUUGGCAGCCAUAAAUGCCCACGCCGUGACACUUAACCACCACACCCUGCUUCACUCAAAAGCAGCAAGGCCCGAUCACACUUUUCCAGACAACAUCUAAAAAAGCCUUUGGAGUUUUGGAACAGCAUCCUAUGGACAGAUGAGAAUUGAGAUCGAUUUGUGCCAGAGUUUUGGAAAGAGAAGAGUAUGGAGAAUGAAAGGCGCUGCUCAUGAUCCAAAACAUAUCGCAUCAUCAGUGAAGCAUGGUGGUGGUAGUGUCAUGGGCAUGUAUGUCUGCCAAUGGAACUGGUCCCUUGUAUUUAUGACAGUUUUGUGAAAAAGGUUUGGGAAGAUAGUGUAACAAAUGUCAUUUGCUUUUUAAAGUAUUAAAGGCGUUUUAGUCUGGCCGAGGGGUCGGCGGGAGCGCAGACUUUGAUGUGCCUGGCGCUGGUGAUGUGGCAUUGUAAUAAAUGUAUGCUUUUUUCGUGUAUUGAAUUGGCGAUCCCGGGACGGAAGAUGAAUGAAUGAAUGAACGAAUUCACGAUUGAACAGGAUUUUGGGGUGAUGUUGUGUUGAAGUUAGUGCACAUCGGUAUAUAAUAGCAACAUAUAAAGUAUGCAAUGCCAACUUGAACUAUGCGGUGUUUGGUAACUCGAGCCUGAUUUUUGUUAUUUUAGAGACGUGAGGCUUCCGCCCGACGAUAUGCGAAUGAGACCCCGCUUGUCUGGCGGUGGAAGGGAGCAGCUGGGCUUGGGCUGUGCUGCCACACUCUUGUCAUCGUGCUGGAGGCUCGCAGCCUGGCCGCUAUCCUUGUAUACACGGACGGUCACUUUGCCUUCCCACCCUCAGUGUUGUGCUGCUCUAAUAAAAAAACACCUCCCUGGCACGGCAUUCCAAGAACUGGGCCGAUUUUGUUCCCCGUUGUUUCCAAUCGGUAUUAGCAGAGUACUUUUCAAUCUAUUGUUCCAUUAUCUGUGCCUCAUCAGGCAGACCAUUAUCCCAUUGUAUUUUGCGUCUGCGGUCCAAAUGCUUACUGGAAAUGAGUCACCACAAGACCAUUGAGCGAUAGGUGCAGCUAACCCUCUGCAGAAUGUGAAAGGCUUUUUAUACGGGCAACAUUGCACUUUUAUGAGGCAAAGCCAGAGGACUUUUUUUUCCCCUCAGUAGACGGCAUCAGGAAUGCAAGUCACAACGCGACCUCCUGUUACGUCCCCAGCCUGUGUGAUGGUGUCGUAUUCGGGUCAGUUUUAACAAGCGUCUGUCUCUCUCUGUGUUUGGCUCAUCCGAGCAGCCCACCUGUAGCACCCUUUCUUUUGUUGCCAUGGAAAUAGGCAGGCAGUCUUUUCUCUGUGUGUCCUUCACUUGUUGAGGUGCAUGUCUGCACAUGACUAAUCCGCCAGCACGUGCCUCCUGUCUUUGGGGGUUCCUUUUGUUGUUUUUAGAUUCUUCAAUAAAACAUCAAGACCCGCCCCCCAACAUGCAUUUGUUCGUGUGCUUAGUUGCAAACAUGCCACCAGGUGUAAAUCAGCUUACUGAGGCAAUGUGCUAGCUGGGCUCACAGCGAUAGGCGCCCGUGUCGCUGACGCAGCAUUUAGCGGGGUGCAGUGGAGCACCUACGGCCACACGGCUGUAAAUGUGUAUGCGUGUGGAUCAGCGCGAACACACUGGAGAACUCCCAGCUUCCUAUCUGUCUUAAAUUUAUCCUGAGCCCCACUGACGACCUGGCAAUGUCCCAUCUUCGGCACUCACCUUUCACCGCCCUGUUAUUGGAAGCUAUUGUCGCAACAUGGAAUUUGGACGGAAUCGACCCGGCAGUUUUCCACCUUCUGAGGUUGUUUCAACGCCCUAAAGGAGACAGCAUAACGCCAGUAGGAGAGAAUCCUACAGCGUCAGAAAUGGGGUGUUAAGUUUAAUAUCUGACACUUCUCCCACCCUGUUGUGUUGAAAGCAACUGACGUGACACAGAUGGUGCAGGUGGUGAAAAUUGACCCAGCAUUUUCCCACCUUUUGAGGUAGUAACAAAGCUGUAACUUUGACAAGGACAAUGCCAGUUUGAAAGAAUUCUGCAAUUUCACAAAUGGGGGUGUGAAGUUGAAUACCUGACACUUGCUUCUCCUGUCCUGUUGUGUUGAAAGCAAUUGUCACAACAUGGAAUGAGGCGAGGGGUCGAACCUGACUUAGCAUUUUUUUUUUUUGAGGUAGUAUGAAAGGAGGCAGGACAACGCCAGGACGGGAGAAUUAGGCAAUGUCAGAAAUUUUACUACCUGACGCUCACUUGAGCCAGCGUUUCCCCGUCAAGUUUUGCUGCUUUGUAUGAACCAUCACGGAUUGGAGUGGGCAGGAAGCCAAAUGGACCCAGACGUUUUCCACCUUUCGAGGAAGUGUCCGAGCCGUAACAGAGGCAAGACGAGCCCUGUGUGUGAGAAUUCCGCAAAAAAGCUUGAACACGAUAAACGCUUCCUUCUCCACAACCAUUUGCAUUCAUCUAUAUGUUGUGCGUAAUCAUCACAUUUUGAUUUGAACUUUUCUGACACAGUUUUAAUCACUUGGGUUUGAUAUCUUU
Phyllopteryx taeniolatus (common seadragon) is the source of this 12923-nucleotide RNA transcript. It is a transcript of the gene named transcription factor MafG, with no coding region annotated. The record is from RefSeq and is a predicted model, not a curated record. Lineage: Eukaryota; Metazoa; Chordata; Actinopteri; Syngnathiformes; Syngnathidae. The transcript is spliced from 4 exons.